GUCACUACUCUAAGUUCUCUCAAAGUACGAACCCUAGGUUUCUUCUCCUUUCUUGACGCAUCAGUGGUCCCCUAGACCAGUCAUUGUCGCACCUUCUCUAGAGAUAUACGAAGCCUUCCGAGCUCACUCACUGAUAUACAAAGCCCAAGUCUGACUCCCUCUUGCUCACUCUCAGUUCAGCCCCUCCCGUUGCCUCCAUUCUCGUUCACUCUCAACUCAGUCUGUCAUUCACUGCCGCUGGUUCGUGUUCACUCACAGUGUUCAUCGCUUGGGCUCUCGCUGAUGAAGAUCGUUCUUCCUACUUCUUGACACACAGAGUUUGUUCAUUGUUCAUUGAUGUGUAUGAAGGUGCAGCCAAUGAGGGUGGUAGAGGACCGAGUAUUUGGGAUACCUUCACUCACAAAUAUCCAGGUAGAAGACAGAAGCAAUGAGGAUGUUGCAGUUGACUCGUAUCACAGCUACAAGGUAUUGUCGAUUCAAAGUUUUUGUUUCUUUUGAUGUAAUUUAUCAACUAUCAUCACUAAU
This is a long non-coding RNA of Vigna angularis (adzuki bean), 525 nucleotides long. RefSeq lists it as uncharacterized. The transcript has 3 exons. Lineage: Eukaryota; Viridiplantae; Streptophyta; Magnoliopsida; Fabales; Fabaceae. The record is from RefSeq and is a predicted model, not a curated record.